RNAcentral lists this ribosomal RNA (220 nucleotides) under uncultured eukaryote. Its description in RNAcentral is "partial small subunit ribosomal RNA". The record is from RNAcentral.
GCUCUGCUCAUUCUCGCAUGUGCAGGUCUGACCUACUAUUCUCACUGGGUAAUUCACACUGAUGUCGUCUUCUCCCAUUUUUUCUAUUUUCCAGUGGUCCUGGCCGGGUUCUGGUGGGCGAAGCGGGGCGCUUGGGCAGCCGUCUUCCUUGGAGUAUUAUUGAUAGCUUCUAAUCGGCUCUCCGGUCUGGAUGUCCCGGUCGCGGAAGAUGCUCUCCGGU